Molecule: ribosomal RNA, 592 nt
Filed under: uncultured bacterium
Lineage: Bacteria
Description: bacterial SSU rRNA
Rfam family: Bacterial small subunit ribosomal RNA
Source: RNAcentral
UACUCCUACGGGAGGCAGCAGUAGGGAAUCUUCCGCAAUGGGCGAAAGCCUGACGGAGCAACGCCGCGUGAGUGAUGAAGGUCUUCGGAUCGUAAAACUCUGUUAUUAGGGAAGAACAUAUGUGUAAGUAACUGUGCACAUCUUGACGGUACCUAAUCAGAAAGCCACGGCUAACUACGUGCCAGCAGCCGCGGUAAUACGUAGGUGGCAAGCGUUAUCCGGAAUUAUUGGGCGUAAAGCGCGCGUAGGCGGUUUUUUAAGUCUGAUGUGAAAGCCCACGGCUCAACCGUGGAGGGUCAUUGGAAACUGGAAAACUUGAGUGCAGAAGAGGAAAGUGGAAUUCCAUGUGUAGCGGUGAAAUGCGCAGAGAUAUGGAGGAACACCAGUGGCGAAGGCGACUUUCUGGUCUGUAACUGACGCUGAUGUGCGAAAGCGUGGGGAUCAAACGGGAUUAGAUACCCUGGUAGUCCACGCCGUAAACGAUGAGUGCUAAGUGUUAGGGGGUUUCCGCCCCUUAGUGCUGCAGCUAACGCAUUAAGCACUCCGCCUGGGGAGUACGACCGCAAGGUUGAAACUCAAAGGAAUUGACGGA